This 556-nucleotide ribosomal RNA is filed under the name Legionella pneumophila. RNAcentral describes it as "bacterial SSU rRNA". It matches the Rfam family "Bacterial small subunit ribosomal RNA", at positions 106 to 658 of the family's 1533-position model. Lineage: Bacteria; Pseudomonadati; Pseudomonadota; Gammaproteobacteria; Legionellales; Legionellaceae. The record is from RNAcentral.
GUGAGUAACGCGUAGGAAUAUGCCUUGAAGAGGGGGACAACUUGGGGAAACUCAAGCUAAUACCGCAUAAUGUCUGAGGACGAAAGCUGGGGACCUUCGGGCCUGGCGCUUUAAGAUUAGCCUGCGUCCGAUUAGCUAGUUGGUGGGGUAAGGGCCUACCAAGGCGACGAUCGGUAGCUGGUCUGAGAGGAUGACCAGCCACACUGGAACUGAGACACGGUCCAGACUCCUACGGGAGGCAGCAGUGGGGAAUAUUGGACAAUGGGGGCAACCCUGAUCCAGCAAUGCCGCGUGUGUGAAGAAGGCCUGAGGGUUGUAAAGCACUUUCAGUGGGGAGGAGGGUUGAUAGGUUAAGAGCUGAUUAACUGGACGUUACCCACAGAAGAAGCACCGGCUAACUCCGUGCCAGCAGCCGCGGUAAUACGGAGGGUGCGAGCGUUAAUCGGAAUUACUGGGCGUAAAGGGUGCGUAGGUGGUUGAUUAAGUUAUCUGUGAAAUUCCUGGGCUUAACCUGGGACGGUCAGAUAAUACUGGUUGACUCGAGUAUGGGAGAGGG